This 1442-nucleotide ribosomal RNA is filed under the name human gut metagenome. RNAcentral describes it as "bacterial LSU rRNA". It matches the Rfam family "Bacterial large subunit ribosomal RNA", at positions 446 to 1980 of the family's 2925-position model. The record is from RNAcentral.
GGGGGGACCACCCUCCAACCCUAAAUACUACCCAGUGACCGAUAGCGUAUAGUACUGUGAAGGAAAGGUGAAAAGCACCCCGGGAGGGGAGUGAAAAAGAACCUGAAACCCUGUGCCUACAAGCACCUAGAGCGCGUCAAUGCGUGAUAGGGUACUUUUUGUAGAACGGUCCGGCGAGCGAUUGUAUGCAGCAAGGUUAAGGACUUAAGGUCUGGAGCCGAAGCGAAAGCGAGUUUGAAAAGGGCGUUAAGUUGCAUAUAAUGGGCCCGAAACCGGGUGACCUACCCAUGGUCAGGUUGAAGUGGAAGUAAAAUUCCAUGGAGGACCGAACCGACCUCCGUUGAAAAGGCGGCGGAUGAACUGUGGGUAGCGGAGAAAUUCCAAUCGAACCCGGAGAUAGCUGGUUCUCCCCGAAAUAGUUUUAGGACUAGCCUCAAGUUAGAUACCUGGAGGUAAAGCACUGAAUAGCCUAGCGGCCGAGAGGUUAGCGAAGCUUAUCAAACUCAGAAUGCCAGAGUAUUGAUGCUUGGGAGUCAGACAGUGUCAGAUAAAUGUCAUUGUCAAAAGGGAAACAGCCCAGAUCUACAGCUAAGGUCCCAAAGUCAGGUUAAGUGGAAAACGAUGUGAAGAUACGCAGACAACCAGGAUGUUGGCUCAGAAGCAGCCACUCAUUCAAAGAGUGCGUAAUAGCUCACUGGUCGAGCGUCUUUGCGCGGAGAAUUUAACGGGGCUAAACCUGACACCGAAGCUUAGGCAAUCCAGCAAUGGAUUGGGUAGGGGAGCGUUGUAUACGCGGAGAAACAGUAGCGUAAGCGGCUGUGGAGUGUAUAGAAGUGAGAAUGCCGGAAUGAGUAGCGCGAAUGCAGUGAGAAUCUGCAUGGCCGAAAGCCUCAGGUUUUUGGAGGAAGGUUCGUCCGCUCCAAGUUAGUCGGGAGCUAAGGUGAGGCCGGAAGGCGUAGCCGAUGCACAGACGGUAGAGAUUCCGUCACCACCAAAAGAGUUAAGCACAGGGACACAUUUGAAGUCUCAGAGCCGGGUGUUGGUUCCGGUAGAGAUCGAGGGAAAUUAGUACCGAAGUCUGAGAUGGAAGAUGGCGAGAAAAGCUGUGUGUAUUUCUGAGGUGCCCGUACCGCAAACCGACACAGGUAGGUAGGAAGAAGAUUCUAAGGCCAACGGGAGAAGGGUUGUUAAGGAACUCGGCAAAUUGACCCCGUAACUUCGGGAGAAGGGGUGCUCCAGAGAUGGAGCCGCAGAGAAUCGGCCCAAGCAACUGUUUACCAAAAACACAGGUUUGUGCUAAAUCGAAAGAUGACGUAUACGAGCUGACGCCUGCCCGGUGCUGGAAGGUUAAGAGGAGAUGUGCAAGCAUUGAAUCGAAGCCCCAGUGAACGGCGGCCGUAACUAUAACGGUCCUAAGGUAGCGAAAUUCCUUGUCAGGUAAG